Molecule: transfer RNA, 65 nt
Filed under: Siphona sp. 1 HNL-2023a
Lineage: Eukaryota; Metazoa; Arthropoda; Insecta; Diptera; Tachinidae
Description: tRNA-Cys
Source: RNAcentral
AGCUUUAUAGUCAUUAAAUGAUAUUAGACUGCAAUUCUAAAGGAGUAAUUUAUUUACUAAGGCUU